GUAGAUUAUUGUGGAUUUAUGCAAAGCAAUCUGUAGUCAUUCGAAAUUGACUGUGUUACGACAAAUGCGUAUUGGAAUAAUUGCUUUCUUCGUUUCAAUAAUUAAUUUUCAAAUUGUAUUUUUGUUUUUUGUUGAUUCUUUGAAAAUGAGUUUUGCCGACUUCAUUUUGGUCGAGUUGUGCCAAAAACGUAAUUUCUAUAAGUUAAUGGAAAACGAAUUUUUGGAGUUAGGUUUACCUCCUGAUAUCGACAGCGCAUUUAAAUUUGCUGUAAAAUUAGGCAAAUAAGAGUCUGUUUAUAAUUCUAAAUGUAAAUUUACAAUGAUAACCGACGAAUGGAGUGGAUAUAAGCAUAUAGACGACAUAGAAGCAGUAAAUGUACAACAGAGAACAGUAGAAACCAUUUAAAAAAUUUGUAAACCCCAAACUGGAUAUCAUACUCAACAGAUGAAACGUUUAUGGGGGUAGUUAUAGAAUAAAAAGCACCUAGCAAAGUACUACAUAAACGAUCUUUCAGACUCCUACAUGUACUUAUUUAUGUAUGAAAAAAUUCAUGAAUUGGCUCCUUAGAAAACCUAAAGAGAGAUUCCAAAUUUUUGCACACCAUGAUCUAUCCUGGGACCGGAAAAAAAGAAAAUGGGUCGAAACAGAAACUGUUCCGUUAACAUUAGUGUCGAAUAUGAAAAAGAAGGAAAACAAUAAUAAUGCAAUGAAAAGGAAAAGCCAAGAACAAAUCGAAUACAGAGAAACACGAAACAACGUCUAAAAAAGUAGCCAAAUCGACACGAACAGGGAAGAAAGAACCUGCAACAAGCGAAAAAGAAUCUAUCAAGUCAGAAAAGAAUUUAAGAUCGAAAACAAAAAACCAUUGACAUGAACCUCAUUGUUCAGAAAAGUGUGAAAACAUGAACUGUGAAAAUGGAGACGUUCGUUCUAUUUACGACGGAUGGAAUUACAGGAGCGUGGUAAGUACUUUUUCUAAUUUUAAGUAUUUUUGUUAAAAAAUGUACCGUAGUUACACACACACACACAAUACGAGGGAUUUACUCAUUUUUUACUUCUUCAAAAACCUAGGUCGUCCUAUACGCAUGAGCGCAGGAUUGUUUUCGUUUUUGAAAUUUCUGUGAACUGUGUAUAGUUCAUGCUUUCAUUAUAGGUCUACAGUCUAUUUAUCGUAAGUUGGUACCUACUGUAAACAAAUUAAGGCACACGUUCCUUUGUUUAUUGGUUUAAUCUUAUGUCCAUUAAUUAAAAACCGAGUUGCAUCUCAUUCGUUGGCAUAUAAUACUUACUAUUUAUUUUUAAAAACAUCAAUGAAAUAUAGGUCAAUUAGCAAUAACUAUAAAUGUAGUUAUUUUAUAUUAUGUGUAGUGCUAUUUUUAAUUCAAACACUGAUACACAGCACAGUGGCACACCAACAGAAGAAAAUCUCGCAACUUAUUGGUCUUCUCUUCGGUCCAGUGCUGUUACACACGAUGCUGAUGCAGGUUGGAUCGAGGAGGAGAACAGAAACUUGCACAACAUACCAACUAUGCCCUGUGCUGAGAUAAAUGUACACGACAUCCGCUACGCUGUUAACAGAACACACAACGUGAAGACACCUGGUGUAGACAACAUUCACAAUUUCUGGUACAAAAAAUUUACAUCACUGCAUCGGGAACUAGCCAAACAUCUAACACAAACCAUUAUCAAUCCACAAGACAUGCCAAAAUUUCUUACUCGGAGCAUCACCUACAUGAAAUCUGAAAGCAACAGCAACACAGAUCCCACACAAUACAGACCAAUUACAUGUCUCCCAACACUCUACAAAUUAUUGACAGCAUGUAUCGCAAACAAAAUAUACAAACAUGUUGAAGAACACGACAU
Molecule: long non-coding RNA, 1864 nt
Organism: Centruroides sculpturatus (bark scorpion)
Lineage: Eukaryota; Metazoa; Arthropoda; Arachnida; Scorpiones; Buthidae
Exons: 3
Source: RefSeq, a predicted model, not a curated record